UACAGAGGGUGCUAGCGUUGUUCGGAAUCAUUGGGCGUAAAGGGCGUGUAGGCGGUUUGUUAAGUCAUGUGUGAAAUCCCUCGGCUCAACCGAGGAACGACGCAUGAAACUGGCAAGCUAGAGUACCAAAGAGGGGGGUAGAAUUCCACGUGUAGCAGUGAAAUGCGUAGAUAUGCGGAGGAACACCGAUGGCGAAGGCAAUCCCCUGGGCCUGUACUGACGCUCAUGCACGAAAGCGUGGGGAGCAAACAGG
This 253-nucleotide ribosomal RNA is filed under the name uncultured bacterium. RNAcentral's name for it is "partial 16S ribosomal RNA". It matches the Rfam family "Bacterial small subunit ribosomal RNA", at positions 524 to 776 of the family's 1533-position model. The record is from RNAcentral.